RNAcentral lists this long non-coding RNA (403 nucleotides) under Androctonus crassicauda. The record is from RNAcentral. Lineage: Eukaryota; Metazoa; Arthropoda; Arachnida; Scorpiones; Buthidae.
CAAACCAAGACCCAAAAACACUAGAAGAAUUCUUCUCAGUAGAAGCAUAUGGCCUGGUCUUGAAACUACAGAACAUCUGUAAAACAACGCACACUAUCUCGACAUAAAUUUAGAGUUGAAGGAUAACAAGUUAAACACCACAGUCUUUAGAAAACCAAUGUACGAACCUGUUGUCAUCCCCCGGUGGUCACCAGAUCCAUAUACAUACAAACUUGCCGCAUUCCGCUACUACUUCAAAAGGGCCAUCUUGCACAUAGACGAGCAAGAGGAUAUGAACAAUGAGAUAGAGUACAUUUUAAAUAUAGGUAGAAUGCACGGGUACUCCAAGAACAUCUUAAUGAAGACUUUCCUUAAAAUGAAACAAAACAUCGCCAACAAAACCGCCAUGCCAAAAGAAGCCGCC